UGGGGAAUUUUGCACAAUGGGGGAAACCCUGAUGCAGCGACGCCGCGUGAUUUAGAAGGCCUUCGGGUUGUAAAAAUCUUUUGUAUAGGAAGAAAAUGACAGUACUAUACGAAUAAGGACCGGCUAAUUACGUGCCAGCAGCCGCGGUAAUACGUAAGGUCCGAGCGUUGUCCGGAAUCAUUUGGCGUAAAGGGUACGUAGGCGGGUAAGCAAGUUAGAAGUGAAAUCCUAUAGCUCAACUAUAGUAAGCUUUUAAAACUGCUCAUCUUGAGGUAUGGAAGGGAAAGUGGAAUUCCUAGUGUAGCGGUGAAAUGCGAAGAUAUUAGGAGGAGUACCGGUAGCGAAGGCGACUUUCUGGCCAUAACCUGACGCAGAGGUACGAAAGCGUGGGUAGCAAACAGG
This 402-nucleotide ribosomal RNA is filed under the name Bacteroidota bacterium. RNAcentral describes it as "Bacteroidetes bacterium partial 16S ribosomal RNA". It matches the Rfam family "Bacterial small subunit ribosomal RNA", at positions 355 to 776 of the family's 1533-position model. Lineage: Bacteria; Pseudomonadati; Bacteroidota. The record is from RNAcentral.